AGAGUUUGAUCAUGGCUCAGAACGAACGCUGGCGGCAGGCUUAACACAUGCAAGUCGAACGAGCUCUUCGGAGCUAGUGGCAGACGGGUGAGUAACGCGUGGGAAUCUACCCAGUUCUUCGGGAUAACUGAUGGAAACGUCAGCUAAUACCGGAUACGCCCCUUGGGGGAAAGAUUUAUCGGAAUUGGAUGAGCCCGCGUAAGAUUAGCUAGUUGGUGGGGUAAUGGCCCACCAAGGCGACGAUCUUUAGCUGGUCUGAGAGGAUGAUCAGCCACACUGGGACUGAGACACGGCCCAGACUCCUACGGGAGGCAGCAGUGGGGAAUAUUGGACAAUGGGGGCAACCCUGAUCCAGCCAUGCCGCGUGAGUGAUGAAGGCCUUAGGGUUGUAAAGCUCUUUCACCGGUGAAGAUAAUGACGGUAACCGGAGAAGAAGCCCCGGCUAACUUCGUGCCAGCCGCCGCGGUAAUUC
RNAcentral lists this ribosomal RNA (472 nucleotides) under uncultured bacterium. RNAcentral's name for it is "bacterial SSU rRNA". It matches the Rfam family "Bacterial small subunit ribosomal RNA", at positions 8 to 526 of the family's 1533-position model. The record is from RNAcentral.